CGCCGCGCGACGGGCCGCCGCCGCUGGAGGGCCCGCUGCUGACGCCCUCCGGCGAGGCCUGGCCCGGCAGCGCGCCGCCGC
Molecule: microRNA precursor, 81 nt
Filed under: Bovine alphaherpesvirus 5
Lineage: Duplodnaviria; Heunggongvirae; Peploviricota; Herviviricetes; Herpesvirales; Orthoherpesviridae
Description: microRNA bhv5-mir-B13 precursor
Gene: bhv5-mir-B13
Source: miRBase by way of RNAcentral